CUUAACAAGGUGAAACCGCGAACGGCUCAUUAUAACAGCUAUAAUUUACUUGACCUUGACCAGUUACUUGGAUAACUGUGGUAAUUCUAGAGCUAAUACAUGCACCGAAGUUGUUCCUCGCGGAGCAAUGCAUUUAUUUGAGCAAAACCAGGCGGCUUCGGCCGUUUCUGUUGAAUCAGAAUAACUAAGCUGAUCGCAUGGGCUUGUCCCGGCGACGUGUCUUUCAAGUGUCUGCCUUAUCAACUUUCGAUGGUAGUGUACGUGACUACCAUGGUGUUGACGGGUAACGGAGGAUAAGGGUUCGACUCCGGAGAAGGGGCCUGAGAAAUGGCCACUACGUCUAAGGAUGGCAGCAGGCGCGCAAAUUACCCACUCUCGGUUCGAGGAGGUAGUGACGAAAAAUAACAAGGCCGUUCUCUUUGAGGCCGGCCAUUGGAAUGGGUACAACUUAAACCCUUUAACGAGUAUCAAUGAGAGGGCAAGUCUGGUGCCAGCAGCCGCGGUAAUUCCAGCUCUCAAAAUGCAUAGAACCAUUGCUGCGGUUAAAAAGCUCGUAGUUGGAUCUGUGCCGGCGACGUGGUCCGCCCUAACGGGAGGUACUGCGCUCGUCGGCUUUGGGCCGGUUUUCGGUCGGUCGCCUUAACUGGCGGCCGCUCGUGGCUGGCUGGUUUACUUUGAGCAAAUCAGAGUGCUCAGCACAGGCGUCUCGCCGGAAUGUUCGUGCAUGGAAUAAUAGAAAAGGAUUUCGGUCCUCUUUUAUUGGUUUUGUGGACUGAGAUAAUGGUUAACAGAGACGGACGGGGGCAUUCGUAUUGCUGCGUGAGAGGUGAAAUUCUUGGACCGCAGCAGGACGGA
This 855-nucleotide ribosomal RNA is filed under the name Paratylenchus sp. F SAS-2019. Its description in RNAcentral is "SSU rRNA". It matches the Rfam family "Eukaryotic small subunit ribosomal RNA", at positions 72 to 939 of the family's 1831-position model. The record is from RNAcentral. Lineage: Eukaryota; Metazoa; Nematoda; Chromadorea; Rhabditida; Tylenchulidae.